Molecule: non-coding RNA, 873 nt
Organism: Schizosaccharomyces pombe (fission yeast)
Lineage: Eukaryota; Fungi; Ascomycota; Schizosaccharomycetes; Schizosaccharomycetales; Schizosaccharomycetaceae
Source: the annotation of a GenBank genome assembly
UGAUUUGGUGUUUGUGAAGUCUUCAUCUUCCUGAGUGCGCGUAAUAAGGAUAGAGCAAUUCUACGAGGAUAAUAACUAUUUAAGUUUCUACAGUAAGAUUAAAAGGAAAAAAAAUAUCUUAACUCUUUAUUAGGACAUGCAUUGAUGCUGUUAUAAAAAAUGCUAAUUGACUAAACAACUUUAUCAAUUGAAUUUAGUCUGGUUUCACGCAACUUAGUUAUAAUUGAAUUUGAGAGAAGAUCCUAAAAAAGACGUCUACUGACAAAAAGUGAGAGUACAGAAUUCGUCAACCAAUUUUGUAAAUGUCACACCAAUGUGCAUUGUUUAUAUCUUGCUAAAUUCUAGCACACAAAUUCCUAUCUUCAUAUACCGGAUAAUUCUAAAUUAUAUGAUUUAUUUAUGAAUAGGGAAUACGCAAGGAGGUAUGAAAACCAAACUUCUUCAGUUAUUGAUGUUUCACAUUCAACUGUUUUGAAGAUAAAUUAUAUUGCUCCUACUGUGUUCGAUCAAGAAACCUCGUGGAAAAAUGCAUUCUUUAAAAGAGUAACUAAAAAAAACCAAAACUCCCAACUUUUUUUUGUUUUAUGUUUAUAACGGUCUAUCAAUUCUUCAAUAAAGUGUUACCAAACAAAGCACUUAGAGGUAAGGAUGGCAAAAAUAAAGGCUUUUCUUAGGUCGAAAUAUUUGUUGUGAAACAAAGGGUAUCCGCGAAUAGCAUGACAGCGGCUGUUCUGCUCAGCUUUCAUCUGAAAUUGAAUAAACUAGCAAUACCAAGAAUACAAACAAUGUACCCAAACUCAUAGGUAAAGCAUAUAGAAACAAAUAACCUCUUAUCAUCAGUGAAUAUGAAUUAUUUUUGCUGAAUAUACUCCC